Mandrillus leucophaeus (drill) is the source of this 1550-nucleotide long non-coding RNA. RefSeq lists it as uncharacterized. The transcript is spliced from 3 exons. Lineage: Eukaryota; Metazoa; Chordata; Mammalia; Primates; Cercopithecidae. The record is from RefSeq and is a predicted model, not a curated record.
AUGGCCGCCCUCAGACCCCUUGUGAAGCCCAAGAUCGUCAAGAAAAGAACCAAGAAGUUCAUCCGGCACCAGUCAGACCGAUAUGUCAAAAUUAAAAUGAGAAUAAAGUCUAGGGGGAAGGUGAAGCACCCAGCCCAAGACUCAGCAGCCAGGAAGUGGCCCGGCGCUCGUUCCACCACAGGUACAGGAAUUCUCACAGAAAAGUGGAGGCCAACGUGUGAGAAUUCCUCAAUGACUGCCCUUUAAAGGAAGAGGGCCAGGCUUCCUGUCAGAGACUGGGGACCCAGGGAGAAACAUGUCCCGGCCCCUGUCCCCCUCCACAAUUCAGAGGCCCACAUUCUAACCGGGGAGGCUGGCCAAUUAAACAGAUCAUGACAUCUAGAGCUAAGAGCUCUCUGACUACGAACCAGAUGCUUGGAGAACACAGAUGAAUGGUCUGAGCAUGAGCAGGGGCGGGAGGCAGCGUUAAGUGAGGCAUCAGAGUCAGAACAUGGCAAAUAAGUGUUUGUGGAGAGGAAUUCGUAGAAAAGGGCAAUGUGGGCAUCACAUGGGCCAAGGAACAGAGGGGUAGCAGUAGCUGUUGUGCCAAGCGGCAGGUCUUAUACGCUACCCUCUAGAUCUGGGUUUCCUUAAAGCAACUUGAGAGGACAACCCUGCAAAGCCUGGCAUGGUGGCCGAGAGGGAAAGGAGCAUUCGAGGUCUCAGUCCUUGCCCUGAGCCUACUUCUCUGCUUCUGGGCUCCAGCCAUCUUUGUGGAAAGGGGCCUGCUACUGACACCCUCUCAAGGGUCUUUCUAGCUCUAGGUCGGCUGUGCUGGGGUCUAGGAUUUGCCCACUGAGAAAUCUGUUUCUGAGUUCCUUCAGCCUGAUGCAUCCUGCAAUGUCACGGCUCCUGGUCAGAGUGGUCAGAAGGCCCCUGAAUGCACUCAGUAGAGGGAAGCCUGGGAACAGGGAGGCACCUGCAGCUCUACUCAGGUCCUGGCCGGAACUCAGCAGCUCUUCUCUGCCAUCUAGUGGGGAUGGCAGUCCGUCACUGGGGACCACCCUGUGCAAACUGGUGAGCCUCAGUGCCUGUCCCAGAGGAAAGAAAGGCAGGGGAUACCGGAUUUAGAUGAAAUAGCAACUCCUAGCCUAUUGUCAACAUCGUCUGGCUUUUUCAAAACAUAUCGUACUGAUUUUCUUUGUUUUUGACACAGAAUCUUGCUCUGUCACCAAGGCUGGAGUGCAGUGACAUGAUCUUGGCUCACUGUAGCCUCUGUCUCCCUGGUUCAAGCAAUUCUUCUGCCUCAGCCUCCCAAGUAGCUGGGACUACAGGCAUGCGCCACCACACCCAGCUAAUUUUUGUAUUUUUUUUAGUAGAGUCAGAGUUUUACCAUGUUGGCCAGGCUGGUCUUGAACUCCUGACCUCAACUGAUCUGCCUGCCUCGGCCUCCCAAAGAACUGGGAUUACAGGCAUGAGGCACUGUGCCUGUCCCAUGUUGUACUUAAUAGACAUUUACUAUAUACAGUUAUUUUUUAAUUUAAAUAAAAUCAAUGAAUAGUGUUAUUUUU